Molecule: ribosomal RNA, 660 nt
Filed under: Bacillus licheniformis
Lineage: Bacteria; Bacillati; Bacillota; Bacilli; Caryophanales; Bacillaceae
Description: bacterial SSU rRNA
Rfam family: Bacterial small subunit ribosomal RNA
Source: RNAcentral
GCGCGUCUAUAAUGCAAGUCGAGCGGACAGAUGGGAGCUUGCUCCCUGAUGUCAGCGGCGGACGGGUGAGUAACACGUGGGUAACCUGCCUGUAAGACUGGGAUAACUCCGGGAAACCGGGGCUAAUACCGGAUGCUUGAUUGAACCGCAUGGUUCAAUUAUAAAAGGUGGCUUUUACCUACCACUUACAGAUGGACCCGCGGCGCAUUACCUAGUUGGUGAGGUAACGGCUCACCAAGGCAACAAUGCGUACCCAACCUGAAAGGGUGAUCGGCCACACUGGGACUGAAACACGGCCCAAACUCCUACGGGAGGCACCAUUAGGGAAUCUUCCGCAAUGGACAAAAGUCUGACGGACCACCGCCCCGUGAGUGAUGAAGGUUUUCGGAUCGUAAAACUCUGUUGUUAGGGAAAAACAAUUACCGUUCAAAUAGGGCGGUACCUUGACGGUACCUAACCAAAAAGCCACGGCUAACUACUUGCCACCACCCGCGGUAAUACUUAGGUGGCAAGCGUUGUCCGGAAUUAUUGGGCGUAAAGCGCGCGCAGGCGGUUUCUUAAUUCUGAUGUGAAAGCCCCCGGCUCAACCGGGGAGGGUCAUUGAAAACUGGGGAACUUGAUUGCAAAAAAGGAGAGUGAAAUUCCCCGUUUCCCGUUAAA